RNAcentral lists this ribosomal RNA (301 nucleotides) under uncultured bacterium. RNAcentral's name for it is "partial 16S ribosomal RNA". It matches the Rfam family "Bacterial small subunit ribosomal RNA", at positions 509 to 807 of the family's 1533-position model. The record is from RNAcentral.
CAGCAGCCGCGAGAAUACGGAGGGAGCUAGCGUUGUUCGGAAUUACUGGGCGUAAAGCGCGCGUAGGCGGUUACUCAAGUCAGAGGUGAAAGCCCGGGGCUCAACCCCGGAACUGCCUUUGAAACUAGGUGACUAGAAUCUUGGAGAGGUCAGUGGAAUUCCGAGUGUAGAGGUGAAAUUCGUAGAUAUUCGGAAGAACACCAGUGGCGAAGGCGACUACCUGGACUGAUACUGACACUGAGGUGCGAAAGCGUGGGGAGCAAACAGGAUUAGAUACCCCUGUAGUCCCUGUCUCUUAUAC